UAAAGAGUUCUAUAACUCCCAAACCCAUGUGAACAUACCUAACGUUGCCUCGGCAGGUCGCACCUACCUUGUAGCACCCUACCCUGUAGGGCCUACCCGGGAGGUGCGGGUAAGCCUGCCGGCGGCCCACCAAACUCUGUUUGAUAUUGAAUUCUGAACCUAUAACUAAAUAAGUUAAAACUUUCAACAACGGAUCUCUUGGUUCUGGCAUCGAUGAAGAACGCAGCGAAAUGCGAUAAGUAAUGUGAAUUGCAGAAUUCAGUGAAUCAUCGAAUCUUUGAACGCAUAUUGCGCCCAUUAGUAUUCUAGUGGGCAGGACCGUUCGAGCGUCAUUUCAACCCUUAAGCCUUCGUUGCUUAGUGUUGGGAGCCUACGGCAACGUAGCUCCUCAAAGUUAGUGGCGGAGUUGGUUCACACUCUAGACGUAGUAAUUUUUUAUCUCGCCUAUUAGUUGGACUAAUCCCCUGCCGUAAAACCCCCAAUUUAUCAAGGUUGACCUCGAAUCGGUUCAGACAAACUCGCUAAAUUGAAGCAUCUUAGUCAGCG
Molecule: ribosomal RNA, 546 nt
Filed under: fungal endophyte
Lineage: Eukaryota; Fungi
Description: eukaryotic LSU rRNA
Rfam family: 5.8S ribosomal RNA (bases 179-332)
Source: RNAcentral